Molecule: ribosomal RNA, 433 nt
Filed under: uncultured bacterium
Lineage: Bacteria
Description: partial 16S ribosomal RNA
Rfam family: Bacterial small subunit ribosomal RNA
Source: RNAcentral
AGCGAACGCUGGCGGCAUGCCUAACACAUGCAAGUCGAACGAGACCUUCGGGUUUAGUGGCGCACGGGUGCGUAACGCGUGGGAACCUGCCCUUAGGUUCGGAAUAACUCCCCGAAAGGGGUGCUAAUACCGGAUAAUGUCUUCGGACCAAAGAUUUAUCGCCUUUGGUUGGGCCCGCGUUGGAUUAGCUAGUUGGUAGGGUAAAAGCCUACCAAGGCGACGAUCCAUAGCUGGUCUGAGAGGAUGAUCAGCCACACUGGGACUGAGACACGGCCCAGACUCCUACGGGAGGCAGCAGUGGGGAAUAUUGGACAAUGGGCGAAAGCCUGAUCCAGCAAUGCCGCGUGAGUGAUGAAGGCCUUAGGGUUGUAAAGCUCUUUUACCCGGGAUGAUAAUGGCAGUACCGGGAGAAUAAGCUCCGGCUAACUCCGUG